UCUUUUUCCUUCUUCUUUCUUCUUCUUUUUUUCUCCUUUCUUUUUUCUUCUCCCUCGUUCAGCCUCGACGGCGCUCCCCCCGGCCUGGUGCGACGGUCGACGGCAGCACGCGGUGGAGAUCUCCUCUUCUCCUCCCCUUUUCCUUUUCUUCUUUUUCUUUUUCUUCCUUUGUCUUUCUCUUUUAUUUUUGUUUGUUGCUUGCUUCUUGCUCUAUUUUUUUUUUGCUUCUUGGUUGUUGUUUGCUUUGGUAGGUGCCGACGAUUGGAGUGCUGCGGCGGCGGGCACGGUGGCGCUGGUGCGAUGGCCUGCGGUUGCAGGGACUAGGAAGGGCCUAGGUCGGCCGACGACUAUUACAGGCGCAAGUUACGCUGGUUGCUGCCAGAAGGAUCAAAAUCAGGCCCAAUUAGCCCUAAACCAAAACAGAAAAAUACAAUAAACAGGCCUACAUUUUACACGGCCCAAUAACCCAUUGACAUAGCCCAAACCAAGUUACCCUAAAUCUAACCCAGCACUAAAAACAAACCCUAGUAGCAGCAAGUGAGCACCGCAGCCUCCCCAAGUGACGCACGUCUCGGGGCCGACCUCUCCACGCGCGCCAUUUGCUCCACUCUCGCAUGCAAACACGUACUUAGAGAGUCCAUCUGCAAAAAUAUAGUGUAAAAUAAAAAAGCAACAAACAGUUUUCGGGCUAUAUAAAGCCACUGUUAUUUUGUUAAUGGGGGAGGGAUGGAAAAAAGAAUAUAUAAAGAGAGGUGAUUACCUUUCAGUUGGAUUUUUGAGGGUUUUGUUCUUACAUUUUAUUUUGUUUUAUUUAAUUAUUAUCUUUUAUU
Molecule: long non-coding RNA, 830 nt
Organism: Gossypium raimondii (Peruvian cotton)
Lineage: Eukaryota; Viridiplantae; Streptophyta; Magnoliopsida; Malvales; Malvaceae
Exons: 3
Source: RefSeq, a predicted model, not a curated record